Molecule: transfer RNA, 69 nt
Filed under: Pogona vitticeps (central bearded dragon)
Lineage: Eukaryota; Metazoa; Chordata; Lepidosauria; Squamata; Agamidae
Description: partial tRNA-Ser
Source: RNAcentral
AGAAAGAAGCUAAAGGGAUACGCGGCUGGUUUGAACUCAGCUAUUAGGGGGUUCGAGUCCUUCCUUUCU